Polyodon spathula (Mississippi paddlefish) is the source of this 3113-nucleotide long non-coding RNA. RefSeq lists it as uncharacterized. The transcript is spliced from 3 exons. The record is from RefSeq and is a predicted model, not a curated record. NCBI's taxonomy places the organism in Eukaryota, Metazoa, Chordata, Actinopteri, Acipenseriformes, Polyodontidae.
UUGAACAGGGUGUUUAAGAGAUGUGUGUAAUUUUGCUAUAACUACAAUAACAUUAUAUUAGCGCAGGUAAAGGGGAAAAGCAUUUAACAAAGGAUAUAUGGUUUGGGGGCAGGACCGUUUGCUUAGCUUGAAAGAGAGUGGAAUAAACAUGCUGGACAUCCCUGGAGACCAAACAGCUUUGAAAAUCCAUUUCAUAUGUUAGGCACAGGGCAUACUCAAACCUGAGAGUACUAAUAUGGAGCGUAUUGAAGCUUUUGAAAUUAAUUAUUUUGCAGUCUUCAAGGGUCUUUACAAAAUACUCAAUAAAACUUUAGUAUCCCUCUUUUCACAUGUUAAUCAUUUCCCUGAAACUCAUGCAUUUGCAAAUGUGUUUACCUGAACAAUGGCAUAGAUUCAAAUUUUACAUGGAGUUUUCCCAUAAGAAGAAAAUUGCUGCUGUUUAUGUUCAAAACAACAAUGUCUAUAAAUGCGCAAAUAAUAAACUAUAUUGUGUCCUUCAAAUAAGCACUAUUAUUAUUAUACUUAUUAUUAUGCUUAGAGAUACCUUGUCUGGGAUUUUAAAACAUUGACAGGUUUUACUUUUUUUUUUUUUUUUUUUUAAUUUACAGACCAAAGUCCUGAAGAAAACAUUUGGUUUUUAAAAGAAAAUGGCUUUUUUGUUCAGCUGAGGAAAACAUAUAACAACUUAAACUUCAGGAAAAUCUUCUCAUUGUCUGACUUUGUGCGUACUACCCCAGACCUCAAAAGUCUGUUUGCUUGGCUUCCCCUGAUUUCUAAGAGCCUGAAAAACAAGCCAGUCUGUCAAGUUUCCUUCUGAGGGAUCUGAGCCUCAUCACAGUCAUUGAAGGGGAAGUGGGCAGUGGAAAAUUAGCCUUGCUCAGGAGAAUUGCAAUUCUGUGGGCAUCUGGGAGCUGCCCUGUGCUGCAGAGGUUCAAGCUGGUCUUUUACCGCCCUCUCAACUCAUUGAGCAAUGAUCAGAGUCUGGCUGGAGCAAUUUCAGAAGAGCUGUGCAGCAUAGGCACACACCUGACUGAGGAGUCUAUCAAUGAUAUCAUCUACCACCUGAAAGACCAGGUCUUAUUCCUGCUGGAUGAUUACGGCGCUGCAGGUUCAGCUCCGAAAUGCAUUCAAGAUCUGAUUGUGAAGCACCACAUGAAUAAAGUUAGCGUGGUCAUUGGAGUCCAAAUGAACAGAACAGCAGCAGUGCGUCAGUAUGCAUCUUCAGUUCUCAUGAUCGCAGCAUUCCCAGUGUACUGCACUGUAUUUAUCUUGAAGAAUCUCGUCUCCCACAACAUUAGUCUUGUGGAAGGUUUUUUUGUUCAGCUGGGCAUGUCACAGUCGUUGUAAGGCAUUUUAAAAACACAACUUUUCACUAUUGCCAUUUGUGCUCUGUGGGUCCAGUACCGCCAAAAGAAUACGCACAACAAUGACAUUUGUGAAGCUUACCUGCACUAUAUUAAGCUGAAGCAUCUCCGUCAAUCAGAAAAGAUGAGAUGCAUGAUAUCAUUCAGUGGAGACCUUGCCUUGGACGGACUGUUUGACCAGUGCUUUGAGUUCAAUGAUAAAGACCUCGAAGAGGCAGGGAUUGACGCUGAAGAGGCUAUCCAUCUGGGUUUAUUGAGCAAGUUCACAGCCCAAAUGCUCAAGCCUGCGUACAAAUUCUUUCAUGCAUCUUUCCAGGAGUACCUGGCUGGCAAGCGCCUGAGUGAGCUCCUUGAAUCUGACUCCCAGGAACAUGCAGCGAAAGGCUGCCAUUAUCUGAAGAAAAUUGACACGUUCCUGAAGAUCAUGGUUCAUUAUAAAUUCUUUUUUGCUCUAUGCAUGCAGUUCCUCUGCAUUAGCCACUCAGAAAAUCGUCAUUCACUUGUUUUGUGUUGCUGAAAGCAAAGGGUUUUAUGAUUCCAGUUCAGAGAAUGGCAAGCAUGUGCCCAAUCAUGUGGAACUUUCUGUUCUUGAGGAGUUACUAAGCGUUGUCCUUCCUAUGGGAACUAAUUUUGACAUUUUAAAGGAUCAUUUUCUAGAGUUUGCAGUUGGAGUUGCUUAUUCUGGUAAUUCGGUCUCUGCCUGCGUUCCUCGUAUCCUGGAAUUCCUCACUGGUAAAAGUUUAAACCUUACAGUUUCAAGUGCGUUCAAUCAGUUUGUUAGAGAAUACCCUGAGUCGCUGGAAUUAUUGAGUGACAUAAACAUAGUAAUAUCUGGACACAAAAAAGAGCAAUUUCCAGACCUUGUGAAAAUGGGUAAGAUGUUAGAACCACAUGGCAAGCCAGUUGUUGAAGAAUAGUUUGCCUCGUCAUACCAACUUAUAAGUAGUGUUGCUGAGAAAACACGUACUUUGAGAAAUUCAGAGGGAUGAAACACAGACAACUUCCAGACUCCAUAGGUCAAACUUUCUUAACAGCAGAAGAUAAGUAUAAAAUGCCAUUGCUCACACUUAAUGUGCUUCAUGUGGAUGGAAUAGAUGAAAGGGACUGCAAGAAUCUGAUGGUGCUCUUUUCAGUUUUGGAACAAGUGGAGUUAACCUUGAGUAACAGUGAAGGAUUUCUUGAAAUUAUUCAGCCUGCUCUUGAGAUACACAAAGGGAUUUUCUGAAAAAUCAAAGUUCAUUGCACCCAUUUAAGUACACAGGAGGAAGAACUGAUUGUAUUGAUGUCUGCCCUUCAAUCGUUGCAUUUGACAUUCAGCCAAGUGCCAGAGUAUUUGAUGCAAAAUUUGGAUACAUUUUGUCAUCUUAAAGAGCUAUUAAUUGAUGGUCCAAGUGACAGCAAAGUGUUUGACAUGAUACCUAAUGGCUUCGGAAGUCUUCACCAUAUGGAAAAACUCAUUCUUUAGAAUGUGACCCUCAUAGAGGAUUCCAGCAGACUUGCCCAGUUUGUUCAGCAGUUUUCCAGUCUCCAGGUUUUCCACCUCAGUUGCAGUAUCUGCCCAGGGUUGGCUGAUAUCAUUACUUCACUUGCAAACUGCAAGAAGUUUGAACAGAUCUUCUUUAGAGGUUCUACUCACAGUGAUCUUGGCGAUUUACCUUUUGGUAAGAGGGUUGAGCAACCAGUUUAUGUACUGUAGAGGAUGCUCCAUGAGCAGCCAUAGAGAACUGGAGUUGUUCUAGAAAUGAGGAU